Non-coding RNA from Microcebus murinus (gray mouse lemur), 1138 nucleotides. Lineage: Eukaryota; Metazoa; Chordata; Mammalia; Primates; Cheirogaleidae. The record is from RefSeq and is a predicted model, not a curated record.
GAAGAGCUGCCACAUGCUGUGAGCACCCAGACAUUGAGUGGCGCUGGUCUCCUCAAGAUGUUCAACAAAGCUACCGACGCAGUCAGCAAAAUGACCAUUAAGAUGAAUGAAUCAGACAUUUGGUUUGAGGAGAAGCCCCAGGAGGUAGAGUGUGAGGAGCAGCGCUUACGGAAACUGCAUGCUGUUGUAGAAACUCUAGUCAACCAUAGGAAAGAGCUAGCACUGAACACAGCCCAGUUUGCAAAGAGUCUAGCCAUGCUUGGGAGCUCUGAGGACAACACGGCAUUGUCACGGGCACUCUCCCAGCUGGCUGAGGUAGAAGAAAAAAAUGAGCAGCUCCACCAGGAACAGGCCAACAAUGACUCUUUCCUCCUUGCCGAGCUCCUGAGUGACUACAUUCGCCUCCUGGCCAUAGUUCGAGCUGCCUUCGACCAGCGCAUGAAGACAUGGCAGCGCUGGCAGGAUGCUCAAGCCACGCUGCAGAAGAAGCGGGAGGCUGAGGCUCGGCUGCUGUGGGCCAACAAGCUGCAGCAGGCCAAGGAUGAGAUUCUAGAGUGGGAGUCUCGGGUAACUCAGUAUGAAAGGGACUUUGAAAGGAUUUCAACAGUGGUCCGAAAAGAAGUGAUACAGGUUGAGAAAGAGAAAUCCAAGGACUUCAAAAACCACGUGAUCAAGUACCUUGAGACACUCCUAUAUUCACAGCAACAGCUGGCAAAGUACUGGGAAGCCUUCCUUCCUGAGGCAAAGGCCAUCUCCUAAUGGACCAAGGAUACCAGAGCCCACCUGCGUGACGCUGCCUUUUUAUACACUGCCCUCCUCCACCUUGAUGGACCCAGUGAUGCAUCCUGCUAGGCUGGACUUAACCCCUUCCUCCCCACCCCACAACCAACUGUCCCCAGUUACUCUAACCGUUACUUCAUUUAGCUCCAUAUAUAUUUUCUUACCUAAGAGAAUAGUUUCCUGCUUUAAGCAAAAGACCUACAAUAGGUGGUGGAAUUAUGGGAUAGGGGUGGAGUAUUGAUAUAAAUAUAUAAAUACAAAUGUAUAUUUUUCAGGAUGUGGCGUAGGAACUGGGAAUAACGUUUUCUGUUACUCCUGAUGGUGCCAUGAAAAGAUUAUGUAAUAAAAUAUUAAAAAA